This 446-nucleotide ribosomal RNA is filed under the name uncultured bacterium. RNAcentral describes it as "partial 16S ribosomal RNA". It matches the Rfam family "Bacterial small subunit ribosomal RNA", at positions 338 to 795 of the family's 1533-position model. The record is from RNAcentral.
CCUACGGGUGGCUGCAGUCGAGAAUCAUUCACAAUGGGGGAAACCCUGAUGGUGCGACGCCGCGUGGGGGAAUGAAGGUCUUCGGAUUGUAAACCCCUGUCAUGUGGGAGCAAAUUAAAAAGAUAGUACCACAAGAGGAAGAGACGGCUAACUCUGUGCCAGCAGCCGCGGUAAUACAGAGGUCUCAAGCGUUGUUCGGAAUCACUGGGCGUAAAGCGUGCGUAGGCUGUUUCGUAAGUCGUGUGUGAAAGGUGCGGGCUCAACCCGCGGACGGCAGAUGAUACUGCGAGACUAGAGUAAGUGAGGGGGAACCGGAAUUCUCGGUGUAGCAGUGAAAUGCGUAGAUAUCGAGAGGAACACUCGUGGCGAAGGCGGGUUCCUGGACCUUAACUGACGCUGAGGCACGAAGGCCAGGGGAGCGAAAGGGAUUAGAUACCCCAGUAGUC